GUUCGGGAAGGUCGGGAGGGGCGGAUCCCGGUGAUGGCGCGCGGCGGUCACGCGCGGGGCGCGCCGCGCGGGAUUUUCGGCCGCCUUCCUUGCGGGGAAGAAGACCCCGACAGGUGGGGCCCACCUGUCGGUGGCUCAUGCGGCGUGGGCGAGCGGCUGGGCCGGCGGGGCGGCGGCGCGUGCGAGGGAGUUGGGCCGGUUCGGCCCAAUUCGGCCGGGCUGGUCCGUUUGCUCCCCUUUUUGUUCUUUUACCUUUUUCUUUUUCUGUUUUUCUUAUUCCUUUGAUAUCUUUUGAUUUUGAACUCCAAAUUGGUCCAAACAAGUCCCAGAAAAUUUGUAAAAUCAUGUUCUACCAUGAUACAACUUUUGGAACGCGCUCAUGUCUGCUCAUUAAAUGCGCCGUGUGGAUCACUCCUUACCCUGGCGAAACUGCACACUGGGCGCCUGGCACGCACCCACG
This 460-nucleotide long non-coding RNA is filed under the name Brachypodium distachyon (stiff brome). Its description in RNAcentral is "long non-coding RNA (BDIS_LNC002262)". Lineage: Eukaryota; Viridiplantae; Streptophyta; Magnoliopsida; Poales; Poaceae. The record is from RNAcentral.